AAUAUUGCGCAAUGGACGGAAGUCUGACGCAGCGACGCCGCGUGAGCGAUGAAGGCCUUCGGGUCGUAAAGCUCUGUCCUUGGGGAAGAAGGUCUUCGGACUUGACGGUACCCAAGAAGAAAGCCCCGGCUAACUACGUGCCAGCAGCCGCGGUAAUACGUAGGGGGCGAGCGUUGUCCGGAAUUACUGGGCGUAAAGGGUACGUAGGCGGCUAUAUAAGUCAGGUGUGAAAUACCAGUGCUUAACACUGGAAUUGCAUUUGAAACUGUGUAGCUUGAGUGCAGGAGAGGAAAGUGGAAUUCCUAGUGUAGCGGUGAAAUGCGUAGAGAUUAGGAGGAACACCAGUGGCGAAGGCGACUUUCUGGACUGUAACUGACGCUGAGGUACGAAAGCGUGGGUAGCGAACA
RNAcentral lists this ribosomal RNA (407 nucleotides) under uncultured bacterium. RNAcentral's name for it is "partial 16S ribosomal RNA". It matches the Rfam family "Bacterial small subunit ribosomal RNA", at positions 360 to 774 of the family's 1533-position model. The record is from RNAcentral.